This 1041-nucleotide long non-coding RNA is filed under the name Parus major (Great Tit). RNAcentral describes it as "lncRNA (ENSPMJG00000010832.1)". Lineage: Eukaryota; Metazoa; Chordata; Aves; Passeriformes; Paridae. The record is from RNAcentral.
ACGAUUUGGGGGCGAUAAGACCUGGGGAGCUCCCGGAGAGAGAUGGAGAUACCCAAAACCACAGGGAGGGAGUAAAGAUGGCGAAUCCCCGCUGGCAGUGGGCAGGAGUCGGGGCAAAUGGCACCGGCCAGCGCCGCAUCACCGGGGAGGGGGAAAACGGUGGGCUUGGGGUGAGAAUCGCUGCUGCAGCUGCUCUGAUUCCCCAUUUGAACAACGUGGCAAGCGGGCAACAGCCACACCACCGCUCCCUCCAUGCACGGGAUGGAGUUUGGGAUGCAGGAGCCUCCAGCCGCUGCCCUGUCCCGCAGGCACCGUGGCAGCCCACGACAUCUCCUGCUGGAAGAAAUGCACCAGCAAGCUUUUCCACUGCUCCUGGCCUCCCCUCGGCCCCGCCGGCAACACCUCCUACAUCCUGAACUUCUGCUUUGAGAAGAACCGCAAGUGCCGCCGGUAUGGGGUGGGCACGGCCACCAACUACAGCCCCCCGCAUCGCCAGUUGUACAUGCUGGAUAACACCACGGCCUGGGUGGAGGCACGCUGGGGGGAGCAGAUCCACAAGACCCCCAACCACACCCUUCACCUCAACAAGGCUGUCAAACUGGAUCCACCUCCGGACGAGAUGCUCUUCUCCAAGACUGGUGGCAAGCUGAGGGUGCAGGUGCCACGGCCACAGUGCCAAGGCCUGGAGCAGCCGGCACAGCAUGAGGCUCGCUUCUGGAGGGUGGGAGACAGCAGCUGGACACAGGUAAAAAUGCUCUUUGCUGAAGCUGGCAGUGACUGACAGGGGUCACCGUGGCAGCCCAGGGAGUGUGGGGGCUCAGUGAUGUCAGUGUCCCCCCCAAACCCAGCUGUGUCCCAUCUGUUUCACUGCUUUACGAGCUCUGCCUCAUCCUCUGGCUGUGGGAUCCUGCUGCUGCCCCUAACAGGAUUCUCUGGGAUUACACAGACAAAACCCCAGAUUAUACUAAUGACGACAACAGAUCAAAUCUGGAUGCUUGUCCCCAGCGCAGCUCUCACAGCUGGGGACCCCCCAUCCCUCUC